AUAUCUUAGUUUUCCCAUAGGAUUUUGUUUUCUCCAGAUUGUCCAGACUGUUGAGCAGCUGUGUCUACUCCGAUGUAAAAGAUGAGUCGGCCACACGGUUUACCAGGAAGUUCUUUACACAUGACCGAGAGGGUCAAGUGUCAGACGAUUGUUGCUCACACGAUCUGUUGUGUGACCCCCACAUAGCUGGCUUGUUGGCUUUAUGGAGAAACUCUACUAGAUGACAAGCCAGGAUUAAAAUUUUAGUGAGGUCGUCUGUCGAAACACGGUUGUAAAAACAUGUAAGCCGAGAUUCAUCACUGAAAACACGUCAGUAAAGACACUACUUGUGAGACACAUCAGUAAAAACAUGUCAAUAAAUACACACCAACGAAGACACGCCAGUAAAGACACGCCAGUAAAGACAAGUCAGUUAAGCAACGUCUGGUGAGAUAGGAAAGUGACAGAGAUGGCAGAAACCGUCUUUGUUACAUUUCUCUUCAUGGAGCUGUUUAACCCUAACGGUAACUGGAGUCUUCAUCACCAAGCAGCCUGUGACAAUACCACAAAAAGCUAUUCUGCAAAUGACUUUGUCAUUAUAACCAGGACUAGUGAACAUUCUUCUCCAGCAAGCACAGGCUGUGAAUGUGAAUUAAUGACCACAGGGAACCUCACUAUCUACAGCAACAUACGGGCUCACCAAGAAAACAGUACACAAGUCAAUUCUUCCCAAUGGAUUAAAUUAAUUAGCAAUCAAUUUUUUGAUCAUAAAGCAGCAUUAGUUUUAUUCAUUCAAGGUAAGUUGCACAAUAAAUUAAGAUAAUUAUUUCCACUACUAUAGCAUAAACUAUUUGGCAGGGGAAC
This is a long non-coding RNA of Physella acuta, 843 nucleotides long. RefSeq lists it as uncharacterized. The record is from RefSeq and is a predicted model, not a curated record. Lineage: Eukaryota; Metazoa; Mollusca; Gastropoda; Physidae.